Molecule: long non-coding RNA, 332 nt
Filed under: Phoenix dactylifera (date palm)
Lineage: Eukaryota; Viridiplantae; Streptophyta; Magnoliopsida; Arecales; Arecaceae
Description: long non-coding RNA (PDAC_LNC012898)
Source: RNAcentral
GAGUGGGAAGAAAUUUAGGUGAACUUGUGAAGAGUCAGGAAUUAAUGGGAAGCACUGGGUUUUGGAGAAGAGUUCUUGGAGUCGACUCCGGAGGAUGUGAAAUUGUGAAAUGAUGCAGUGUAGGUUUAGGCUUUAUCUUAUUGAGCUUGAUUCGACCUGCAUACAUUAGGCUCAAUCAGUAAAUAAAUAAGUAAAACUCGAAUUACCUUUAAUAAUUUAUUCAAAUGCAAUGAUGAAGGUAACACAUUUUCUUGGUUAAAUUUAUAAAAUAUGUGAAUUAAAAUAAUGAUAAGUGCUAUGAAUAAGAUAUUAAUUUAUGCAUUAUUUAGCAC